RNAcentral lists this ribosomal RNA (432 nucleotides) under uncultured bacterium. Its description in RNAcentral is "partial 16S ribosomal RNA". It matches the Rfam family "Bacterial small subunit ribosomal RNA", at positions 29 to 507 of the family's 1533-position model. The record is from RNAcentral.
AACGAACGCUGGCGGCAUGCCUAACACAUGCAAGUCGAACGAGACCUUCGGGUCUAGUGGCGCACGGGUGCGUAACGCGUGGGAACCUGCCCUUAGGUUCGGAAUAACUCCCCGAAAGGGGUGCUAAUACCGGAUAAUGUCCUCGGACCAAAGAUUUAUCGCCUUUGGAUGGGCCCGCGUUGGAUUAGCUAGUUGGUAGGGUAAAAGCCUACCAAGGCGACGAUCCAUAGCUGGUCUGAGAGGAUGAUCAGCACACUGGGACUGAGACACGGCCCAGACUCCUACGGGAGGCAGCAGUGGGGAAUAUUGGACAAUGGGCGAAAGCCUGAUCCAGCAAUGCCGCGUGAGUGAUGAAGGCCUUAGGGUUGUAAAGCUCUUUUACCCGGGAUGAUAAUGACAGUACCGGGAGAAUAAGCUCCGGCUAACUCCGUG